This 681-nucleotide ribosomal RNA is filed under the name Bacillus sp. FJAT-4433. Its description in RNAcentral is "bacterial SSU rRNA". It matches the Rfam family "Bacterial small subunit ribosomal RNA", at positions 59 to 723 of the family's 1533-position model. The record is from RNAcentral. Lineage: Bacteria; Bacillati; Bacillota; Bacilli; Caryophanales; Bacillaceae.
CAGUCGAGCGAAUCGAUGGGAGCUUGCUCCCUGAGAUUAGCGGCGGACGGGUGAGUAACACGUGGGCAACCUGCCUAUAAGACUGGGAUAACUUCGGGAAACCGGAGCUAAUACCGGAUACGUUCUUUUCUCGCAUGAGAGAAGAUGGAAAGACGGUUUACGCUGUCACUUAUAGAUGGGCCCGCGGCGCAUUAGCUAGUUGGUGAGGUAAUGGCUCACCAAGGCGACGAUGCGUAGCCGACCUGAGAGGGUGAUCGGCCACACUGGGACUGAGACACGGCCCAGACUCCUACGGGAGGCAGCAGUAGGGAAUCUUCCGCAAUGGACGAAAGUCUGACGGAGCAACGCCGCGUGAACGAAGAAGGCCUUCGGGUCGUAAAGUUCUGUUGUUAGGGAAGAACAAGUACCAGAGUAACUGCUGGUACCUUGACGGUACCUAACCAGAAAGCCACGGCUAACUACGUGCCAGCAGCCGCGGUAAUACGUAGGUGGCAAGCGUUGUCCGGAAUUAUUGGGCGUAAAGCGCGCGCAGGUGGUUCCUUAAGUCUGAUGUGAAAGCCCACGGCUCAACCGUGGAGGGUCAUUGGAAACUGGGGAACUUGAGUGCAGAAGAGGAAAGUGGAAUUCCAAGUGUAGCGGUGAAAUGCGUAGAGAUUUGGAGGAACACCAGUGGCGAAGGCG